CUAACGUCUCAGUUCAGAUUGCAGGCUGCAACUCGCCUGCAUGAAGUCGGAAUUGCUAGUAAUCGCAGAUCAGCAUACUGCCGUGAAUACGUUCCCGGGCCUUGUACACACCGCCCGUCACACCAUGAGAGUUGGGAAUACCCGAAGCCUGUGAGCUAACGAAAGAGGCAGCAGUCGAAGGUAGAAUCAAUGAUUGGGGUAAAGUCGUAACAAGGUACC
RNAcentral lists this ribosomal RNA (219 nucleotides) under uncultured bacterium. RNAcentral's name for it is "partial 16S ribosomal RNA". It matches the Rfam family "Bacterial small subunit ribosomal RNA", at positions 1280 to 1500 of the family's 1533-position model. The record is from RNAcentral.